UACAACCAAUAGAGCCUUAGGUCAAUGGCAGUACACACACACACACACCAGACACCAGACAAAAAUCCUUACAGUGCCCUGGAACCCAGAACGGGAGGUGUAGCCUGCUGGGUGCUCAGGGAAUGAGCCAGAGCAUAUGUGCUGCAUUUGAAUAAAGGCAUGGAUGGCAUGCUUAAUAAAUUAGCAGAUGACAGGAAGCUGGGAAUAACAGCUAAUACAGUAGAUGAUAGAAAGGAAUCCAAUAAGAUUCUAACAAGUUAGAGAAUUGGGCUGAAAUUUAUAAGAUAAAAUUCCAUAGGGAUCAAUGUAAAGUCUUAAGCUUAGGUGUACAAAAAAUAAUCAACUUCACAAGUAAGAGAAGGGGGAGAGACUGUUGGGCAGAAGCUUAUCUGAAACAGAUCAGGGGGUUCAAGUGAAUUGCAAGCUUGAUAGGAGUCAGCAGUGAUACAGCAGCCAAAAAAGUUAAUGAGAUUUCGGUCAAAAUUAAGUGGGCCAGGAAUUCCAAGAACAAGGAGGUGAUAGUCUUUCUGAACUCUGUCCUUGUCAGACUUUAUCUGGAUUUUUGUGCUCAGUUGGGCACCUCAGUUUUAAAAUGGGCAUUGAUAAGUUGGAGAGGGUCCAGAAGAGGGCACCCAAGAUGGUGAAGAGCCUUGAGCUCCUGCUGUUUGAGGAAUGACUGAAGGAACUGGGAAUGCUGAACCUGCAAGAAGAGAAGACUCAUCAGACUUGUUUUCUUUGACUCCACAAGUACAAAGAUUGUUCUCCUUGGCCAAGAAAACUGAAGCAAAGUAAUAAAGGGCCACCAACUUCAAAUGUAAAAGUCACAAUCAGCAUCCCAUUGAUCUCACACAGCCCAGGAACUGACCUGAGAAGAUAUACUAAAAAAAAGCACCUAGAUGAAGCAUUCUGGGAAGAUGGCAGAGUAGGUCAGAAAUUUAUAGGCUCUUUAAAUUUUCUUCACAGACAGAACAACACCACGAAAUGAACUUAGAGCAGCAAAAGUAAAGGGGUAAUGCAACUCUCUUUCUAAGACAACUUAAGAGGACCUCAGGAAAGACAGGAUCUUCAGAGGCCGAAGUCUGGCCUGAGUGAAGUGUAGGUACCUCAAGUCCAACUCUGCUGAAUCAACAAACAGCAGGCCCUGGAGGCAACUCUUUUGGGUAGCUGACUAGGCCUCAAGAAAUUUCACCUUACAAAAUUUUCACCUCACCAACUUUCAUCUAACAAAAAGCUUGGAGAUCAGAUGGCUGAGUGGGGGAAGACUGAAAGACACCUGCUGUUUCUGGACACCAGGCCUGGCAGUGCUGACCAGACAUGAUCCUAGGCUGUGGCUAUGGGCAAGGAGGAGCAAGCACAUGCCAGUGAGUGAGGUAUCUCAGGAAGCAAGAACAUUUUUAGGGUAUGAUUGGAAGCCCUAACUAUGAUUUAGGGGAGGAGAGGAGUGCCUGAGGUUGAACGCCUGGAUAGAACUCAGAAAAUAACCAUAAGGAAGACCUCAGGCCUGGGUCACCAUUACCCACAAGUCAGGAUUAAAAACUGAUUACAAUAAUAAGCUGCUAAAAAUAGAAUAAAACAAAAUAAUAAAGAGUAAGCAAAGGCAAAAGAGUCCCACCAUAGACAGCUACUAUGGUAUAAAAGAAGAUCUGGGUUCAGAGGAAGAUUCUGAGGUUAAAAAAGCUAUUCCUACCCCUAAGAAUUACAUCAAAUGGUCACAAUUCCAAAAAGAGCAUUUGGAAUAUCUUUUAAAAGGACUUAAAAAUCAAAUCUGAGAGAUUGAGGAAAAUUAGGAAAAAAAAGUAAAACAAUC
Molecule: long non-coding RNA, 1807 nt
Organism: Vombatus ursinus (common wombat)
Lineage: Eukaryota; Metazoa; Chordata; Mammalia; Diprotodontia; Vombatidae
Exons: 3
Source: RefSeq, a predicted model, not a curated record